UACAUAUAGAAUUUUCAUUUUUAAGGUAAGAAAACUAUACAAAUGGAAAGAUGUAUACCAUUUACAAAAACAAAUGAUUUGUCAAAAGAAUUUAGCUGAUAGAUAUUGCUCAUUAUAGGCAUUAUCUGCAUAAAUUCAAUUGGCUGAUAUAUUCGUUAUUGCAAUACAAAUAACAAGUUCACUAUUAGAAGUUCAAGCAUAUGACCAAGGAAAAUAAUUGCCUGAUUACAAAGCUAGAAAGGCAAUCCAGAGUACAGUAAGCUUGUACUUACACAUGGGUGAUAGUAGUUCAAUCUUGUGUUAAUGAAGAGAUUGGUGAAAGUACAACAUAAACAAUAACUGUUUAAAUAAUAAUAUCAUACUCUAAACAGAUAAACUUCAACUUCAUUCAAGAAAUGUUAAGAAUUAAAUUUUAGAAGUCUUUAAUAAAUAUUUUUAAAAUAAUACUUUUCUCAGCAUAUAUACAACUACUACUGAGCUAUACCCACUGCUCUACUAUGUUCUUUUAAAAAAACUGCAUUUUGAAAUAUAUAUACAUUUGUUCAUUAUAGAGGCAGGGAAGGAAAGAAAUCGCUACCAGUGCGUAACAUCAUUAGAGCAUAUUAGCAUCUCUGAUUUGUGAUUAAGAUUGAAAAUAAUAUGUUGUUGUAUGUUAAUUUUAUAAAAGAAAUUAAUAUUGCUGUAAAAUUUUUAAAAAAAUUAUUAAUAAUAACAAUUAUUACUGCAAAACAAUUUAUCAAUGAUAAUGAAAACUGUUAUUCUUAUAAAAUUAUAAUUAUAAGUAUUAUAUAAUAAAAUUUUAGUUAUAGUUAAUCAUUAAAAAUAUAAAAUUUACUGUCAUAAGUUUAUAAUAAUAAUAUAUAAAUUAAUACAUAGCCAAAAAGUAUAUGUAUACUCCGCAAAAAAUGUUAAAUUCAGUAGCAAUAAUUUUUACAUCGAAAAUUAUCAAUGGAGCCAAGAACAUAUGACUCGGCAAUGCUUCUACAGCUUGUUCCGUUACAGUAUUGAUUAUGCCAUCUUGUUGCAUUUGUCUACGAGAAUGACAAGGAAAGACCAAAAUCCCAAUAAAAAGGAAUUGCAGUCUUGUUUUAGUGUUUUAUAAAGAUUUUCUGUUGUGACAAAAUGAAGCUAGUAAUUUAGUGGUCAAGGUUAUAGCAAAUCAAGACUUCAAAGUUUCAAUCAACUUAGCAUUAAACAUAUCCAAAUAUCUCUUUUCACUUCACAUGGGACGACUUAUUAAAAAGAGAUGUGGUGAUGAAUCACAAUACGCAAACUAUUUUGACAAGUUAGGAUAGUGAGACUUAUAUAUAACAUAAGUGAGACUAAUGUUUCUGUAUUGGGUGACAAGUUUUAAUAUAUAUAUUUUUUAAUUUUUUAAGUUAAAUUCUUGCGUAUAUUUAUAAUAAAUUUAAAAUGGAACCCAAUUUUUAAGGCAUAAUAAAGAAGCAUCUUCUUCUCUUAAUUUGUAACAGUACUGUGUACAUAUAUAGAUGAUUAUCAUCACCACAUCUCUGAAUAUACAUAGUAAAAUCUUUGUAAUGAUAUGCUCUAUAUAAAAUUUGGUCCAAAAUUUCCUUCCUUUCACAUGAUGACUUUUUUUUAAGUAAUAUCUGAUUUGCAAGAUAGAUACUUACAUCUGCUUUGGAAUUUCAAAAAAAUUAUAAUAAAUAAAAGUGAAUGAAGAUAAUAUCGUGUAUCAUUCUCUUUAAGUUUUAAUUUAGUUAAAUUAUAAAAAUUUCUUCAUAAUUUAAAUGAUUUAAUUAUUUUUUUAAUUAUAAUUUUUUAUAAUUCAUCUAAUUAGUUUCCUUUCUCUCUUGUAACUGAGAUAAAGGAAGAUGUAUUAAUUAUUUUUUUUAAUUUUAUCUUUAUUUUUAUUAACAUAAUAAUUAUCAAUUACACCAAGCAUUCUUGUUUUAUAAUACUAUAUCUGUUCACUUUUAUCUGUGAAAAGUAGUAGUGAGUGACAAAUUAUAUAUAUAUAUAUAUCAUGAAAUUGUUCAUCACGGUGGCUCAUUUAUUCACUUUCUGUAUUUGAUUAUUCAAUCUGUAUUUCAUGUUCACUUUCAAUAUUUCUGAAUUUUGUUGGGUGUAACAACUCACCUUAUAUAGUGAGUUACAAUAUUUUCAUAUAUUCUUUUCUUCUUUGGUAUGGGCAUCCAUUGAUGGAGCUGUCAAAGGAGCAUCUUUUUAUAAUCAACUGCAUAUAGUCCAAAAAUAAUAAUAAUUAAAGAAAAAAAAAUAUAAACAACUAUGGCUGAUGAGACUUGUGAGGGAUUGAAACUUUAAAAUUAUUAGUACUUUUCUACAGAAAUGAUGAAUUUAAUAUGGUUUGUCCUGGAGAGAAGAUUGGCAUCAGCAUUCAAAGGCAUUGAAUUGAUUUCCUUGUGUAUUUUAUCAGCAGGAUUUCCUGAAAUGAGGAGAGAAGUGUAACCGUUGUUGUGGGUAUACGUAAGGUAACCGAACCACAAUAAAUUUUCUUUGUUUCUUUUGUUGAAAGGUCUCUAUUUAUAAUAAUAAUAUGGAAUUUGACAAAACUAAUGUGAUUGCAACUUCACCCAUUAUUCCUCUUAAACUAAUGUUAAGAUCUGCCCCUGUAGAAACAGAUGGACUUCAAUAAAUCUAACUCAAUUUCUGAAGCUGGCUCAAGUUGAAGAAUGGCUAACAAAUUACUCACAAGCCUAACAUAGAGAUAAGAAUGGGCUAGAUAUUAUGUAGAGAAAAUAAAUUAGUAAAGUAAAGAAAAUGAACUAGACUUGAAUCACUAAAGGGAGGAUAGGAUGUCCCACACCCUCAUAUCUAUCAUCAUGUUAUGUAUGCAAGGGCACUAUGCUUCCAAUAUGUUGUGCAUCUUAUGAUUUACAAACAAAGAAGGGGAACUCGAACUUAGAUUCUUACUCAAAUUGAUGAGAAGUGAGAUCUAUUUGACCUCAUUAUUGUCCUUUUUUAGAAGGAAGGAAAGGGAAUUUGAACUUACUCACACGCACAAAAGCAUCUUUUCUACACAUGAUUACAUCUACAAACAACCACAUAUAAUAGCUGCUAAUUAUUACCUAAUUAUUCCCACUCCCACUUUAUCACUCCCUCAAUGCCUCUUUUUCCAAGUUUUGUAAUCUGUGAACAACAUACCUAACUUUCUAGGCUGUUUGUUUCUUUUGGGAAAGGUCCUUUGAAACCCACAAAAAAGCUUGAAACUUUGUGCACCAGCAGUCUAGUUCUUUCUUGCUCAUAUACAAGAGGUAGGAUGAUGAAUGAUGGCCUUUUUACUGUAAAAGAUUCUUUAUUUUUAUUGCUUAACCUCAACAUAUCCUUUUCCAAAGAGAGGGGUCUCUCACCAACGGACAGAAAAAUUAGGAAAAUAUAAUGAACCUGAGACUUGUUUUGGGAGGUAAUGAUUCUCUCUCUCUCUCUCUCUCUCUCUCUCUCUCUCUCUCUCUCUUGUAACAUUCACAGAGAGGUUGACCAUGGUUUUUCUCUUCUUUCUUUCUUCUGCUUUUUAUAUCAAUCCAUCUCUCCAAAAAUGCUAACAAACAAGACCCGAAGAUGCCCCUGACUACUUGCUGCUUUAACUUUCUGACAAAGAUGUCUCUGUCUGUGGUUAGAAUUUGCAUGGAGUCAUUUUCAGAACCACUUGUCAAUCGAAGCUAUCUCUCUCUCUCUCUUGAGAAAUUCUCUGGUUUUCUUUCUCUUUUUUGAAGGUAUCUCUCUCUCUCUCUCUCUUUCUCUCUCCCUUCUCUUUCCCCAUACAGUUCAUGUCAAGUCUCUCCUUCUCUUUCCCCUGCGAAGAAGAUCAUACAGUUCAGGUAAUGGUAAGUGAAUCUCGGACCAGGCUUCAUUCC
RNAcentral lists this non-coding RNA (3836 nucleotides) under Hevea brasiliensis (rubber tree). The record is from RNAcentral. Lineage: Eukaryota; Viridiplantae; Streptophyta; Magnoliopsida; Malpighiales; Euphorbiaceae.